Molecule: ribosomal RNA, 441 nt
Filed under: uncultured bacterium
Lineage: Bacteria
Description: partial 16S ribosomal RNA
Rfam family: Bacterial small subunit ribosomal RNA
Source: RNAcentral
CCUACGGGAGGCAGCAGUGGGGAAUAUUGCACAAUGGGGGAAACCCUGAUGCAGCGACGCCACGUGAGUGAAGAAGUAUUGCGGUAUGAAAAGCGCUAGCAGCAGGGAAGAAGAAAGACGGUACCUGACUAAGAAGCACCGGCUAACGACGUGCCAGCAGCCGCGGUAAGACGUAGGGGGCGAGCGUUAUCCGGAUCCACUGGGUGGAAAGGGAGCGUAGACGGCCAUGCAAGCCAGGGGUGAAAGCCCGGGGCCCAACCCCGGGACUGCCCUUGGAACUGCAUGGCUGGAGUGCGGGAGGGGCAGGCGGAAUUCCUGGUGUAGCGGUGAAAUGCGUAGAUAUCAGGAGGAACCCCGGCGGCGAAGGCGGCCUGCUGGACCGCGACUGACGUUGAGGCUCGAAAGCGUGGGGAGCGAACAGGAUUAGAUACCCGAGUAGUC